UGCUUGCCCAAGCUAAGGAGGAGGAAGGAAGGGGUCUGGCAAUUGUAUAGAUCCCCCAGCUGGCUCAGCACAGUCUCAGCGCAGACAGGAACAUCUUUCCCAGUGAUAUUUUUCUUGCCACCAGAGCUUAGUAGUGUUUUGGGGCUUUUUGAGACAGGUGUCUGCUGCCCUUUCUCUCCUCCCUGCAGAGCUGUGUGGUGACAUUUCUUGCUGCUGCCUGGCUGGCUGGUUGUCUUGGGCCCUCCCUGACACCCUGCAGGGCCUUUAGCAGUGCAGAGAGCAGAGCAUGGCUGGCAAACGGCUUGCAAGAGCAAAGGGGGAUCUAUAGCUCCCAAAAUAAGUGGAUUAUGCCAUUUUGGUCCCCAUAGAACAAACCCAGAUCCAUACAGAGUGAUUCUGAAGCUGUUUCAGCAGGACUCCCUGCUUGCACAAACCUUCUUUGUCUCCUCUGGAUGGAUGGAGCUGUAACUCUCACACUCGCAGGUGUUCUCAGACCCCAGUACCUUUCCAGAAGCAUGGCCAAGAGGAUGGAGCAAGUUGCUGGGAGGAAGGUAAGAAAAGCAUAUCAUCCCUGGCUGGGGACACAAUGCUGUCCUUCCCAUCCAUGUGAGAUCUAGUCCACCUCCAUGUCCCUCAGCCAAUGGACCCAGCCACAUCCUCACCCACUGCCCUUCCCAGCCUGCCACCUUCUCCCGGCCACAGCCACCAAAGCACCUGGAAACCAGGAAGGACCUUGGCUGAAAACUGAAAAAGGACACUGAAAACACUGACUAAAAUUGUAUCAGCAGCGUUGCUCAGUCUCACCAUGGCCAGCUGGGCUGUGGCAGACAUCUGGGUGAGCUUCCCAGGGACAGUGGAUGGGAAGAGCCCUGAGGUGCUGUGCUCGUUGGCCCAGGCCAGCCAUGGCUGUGACCAUCACCUACCCGAGAACACCUGCAAGUGUGAGAGUUACAGCAUCAGCCAUUCCCUUCAUAAAUAAUUUUGCUUAAACAAAUAGCAUCAAGAUCAUUUUACUUGUUAUGGGAAUUAUCUUGAAUAAAGCAAAUAUUGAGGUUAUCAGAGAGAUAUGUCUUAUCUAAGGCAAAUGGCAAUUUUUAGGGGGGUCAUCACUGUUGACUUAUUAAACAUGUCCCUGAUGGGAUGUCUGGCAUGUACUUAUCCAUAGAAAUGCCUCACUUUUUCUGAGUAGCCUUUGAGAACCAAAGCAUGUCCUGGUCUCUUGCCCAACUUCUAUUUCCCAUUCAAUUACCUGUUAUCUCAAAGCAAAUGAGCAAGAGAGGAGGAGAAGCAGCAACUCUCCAAACUGAGGUGCUGGGCCACAGCUGGGCCUCCAAGUAUAACAGCAACACAAACAAGAAGUCUGUGUAGCCAAAUGGACUCGAUAUCUCACCAUCCUGGCCAUUCUCCAUCUCCUUUCUACAGAAGCUUUCAGCCCACCAUUCUGCUCUGUCUCAUUUGAGAUGUAGCUGACAUUAGAGAUAGAAAAUCUUUCAAGUUAUUUUAACUGAGUCAAUGAACAGCCAUCCCAGGAUCAAGCCAUGAACCUGCAAUCUGAGGACGAUCCUUUUCUUUCCCUCUUACUUCUCAUGGACUGGCAAGGAACAGUUUAUAUCUUUGAAACUAUAAAUAGGACUGGAAAACCAAGUACUGCACAGGUAAAUCAGCAGCAUUAAGGAUGUCUUCAACUACAUCAACACCUCAAUUUUCAUGACUCAUUCAGACCAAUUGCUCUUUGCAGUAGCUGAGCAGGUUGCCAGCAUUGAGGGGCCCACCUGCAUCUCCCUGAGAGACCUGGUGACAUUACCUCUUUUGGAAAGCUGAAAAAAUGAGAAACUAGGACAUUAAGGUCAAAAUUGCUACUUUCCAAUUACUAAGAGUGCUCAGCCUGAUAUAUUUCUGAAUGUUCCAUGUUUCAUAGCACCAAGCAGACUUUGCAGUUUGAACAUAAAGACUUUGCACUGCCUCUGAGCAUUCAGACAUCAGAAUAUCUGAAGUAUUAAUGGAGAGCUUGUGCCCUUACAUCCCUGCAGAAGCACAGCCAAAUAAGUGGAUAUCUCCCACCUCUCCCCUCUCUUCCCACCUGAGGUGCACCUAUACAUGCCUGUUCAGCAGACCCAUGAAGGGACAGGAGAGACAAGAGAGCACAAAGCAAAUGAUCAUUCCUGUCCAGGGACUUCACCUUGGCUCCUCAUAUGGAAGGCACUCAGGUGCUAUAAAGUGUGGUGGCAAUGCAUCACAUUAAAAUAAAUGAGUGUCUCAUACUGUGCACAGAAAAAAAAAAAUAGGAAUACACCAAAAAAGUGUGUGUGAAUAGUUUGCCACAUACUUUGUGCAGCUUGCAUGAGGGAGGUGCAGGGAAGAGAUGAUUUCUCCAGCCUGGUGUAGGAACACCCUCCUCAGACCAUCUGUUCUCCCUCAUCUAACCCGCCACCUGCUUUCUUCAGCAGUCACUGAAAGAGCCCCCCGAGCCCUGUGUGCUCCCAGUGAGCCCCCAGCCCCUCCUGGAGUGCAAAGACUGAGAGCUGGAGGGAAGUGGCACACAGCACAUGAAGAGUGCCCCAUCACCUCUUACAGCUGGAUUCACCUUGUGUCCAGGAGCAAAACAGAAGGAAGUCACCUCUGUCACUGCCACUGAGCAGGGUUUGCCCCUUGCCAAGCCCCCUGUUUGGCUGCCCAUCCCCAGGCUGUGGGAGAAACCAGGGAGUGCAUGGUACAUGGACACCAAGUUGUUACCAUGCCAUAGGAGUACUGGCCAUGUGGGAGACAUUCCAGCUGCUGAAUACAGCCUUGGCCAGAUGGAACAGGGCUUGAUGAAAACAAG
Vidua chalybeata is the source of this 2821-nucleotide long non-coding RNA. RefSeq lists it as uncharacterized. Lineage: Eukaryota; Metazoa; Chordata; Aves; Passeriformes; Viduidae. The transcript has 3 exons. The record is from RefSeq and is a predicted model, not a curated record.